Molecule: ribosomal RNA, 513 nt
Filed under: Triticum aestivum (bread wheat)
Lineage: Eukaryota; Viridiplantae; Streptophyta; Magnoliopsida; Poales; Poaceae
Description: partial small subunit ribosomal RNA
Source: RNAcentral
AUGAAUAUGUUGCAUCCAAAUCUGCAUUUAUCUCUCUGCAAUAUGCUCAUUUGCUAUAUAGUUUUGAAGUUUACAUAUCAUGUAUAUUUAUUACCAUAUCCUGCUCGAACGUUUGGGCGUUCUUCGAAGGAAUAUCUUUUUUUUCUAUUGCAGCUUUCUCCUGGAAACCGUUGUUAUGAACCAAUCAACUCUUUGAGAAUUAAAGGUUUCGCUCGUCCUAGGACGGCCCGGAUGGCCCAAGGUGAGCAGCCUUUGAUACGCCAUGCAAGACGCCUAGGUGCUGCCUUCCAGAUAAAUCCGGCUGCCACCGACCGGCGUGAGCUCGCUUCAGCCUCCUCCUUCGAUCUUGCAGCUACUGCCUCAUCGCCAACCCACAACAAGGAUUUGGAAAUUGCAGCUUCAAUUCUUGCGAGCGCGGAGUUGGAGAAGGUGGGGCUGCAGAGCAGAGCCAGUUGCAGCAUCCAUGGCCUUGUUGUGCUUUCCAUCGACCAUGCGCCAACGCCAAGUCCAUGA